UUCUCUGCUGCUAUAUGUUCAGGGUCAGAGGUGAACGCCAACGCCUCUCUCAGUCACAGGCUAUGCAUUUGCCUUUCGGUGUCUGUUCCUGAACAUCGGAUGAACUGUGGAAGAAACUGAAAUACAAAGAACA
This is a long non-coding RNA of Perognathus longimembris pacificus (Pacific pocket mouse), 133 nucleotides long. RefSeq lists it as uncharacterized. The record is from RefSeq and is a predicted model, not a curated record. NCBI's taxonomy places the organism in Eukaryota, Metazoa, Chordata, Mammalia, Rodentia, Heteromyidae. The transcript is spliced from 3 exons.